CAAGAAUGUUCAGUAAAGUAAGAUCUACAAACACAUCACUAUCAGCAAAACACAAUUUUGUCAUGAAUCCAUCUGUGUCCUUUGUUUAAUAUGCACAUAGACCAAGGUGAGCGACACAGGCUCUUUAGAGCCUCUAGUUUUCAUUUUAAAGCAUUUUAUUCCUCUUCAAUACAAAACAAUAUUUCAAUUGUGAUAUUGUCUUUUGCUUAUUUCAAGCUGUUUGAAAGAAAGAUCAUUCUGAAAGACUUGUACAAAAAUUAUAUAAACGUUUCAAAAAUCUUCCAAGUGCCUAUGUGGCUGAGUGAUCAAGUAGAUCAUCUGGGUUGAGUUCAAUAUUGGAGCAGCUACAUAACUGCUAUCAAUUUCUAUGUAGCAGCUAGUCUAUAGCUACACGUUCAAUAGUCAAAAUCUACGUAGCACUACGUAGCAGCUAUGAUAUUGAAAGCGACCCUGCUAUAUCACUUGAAGUUGAAUCUCAAUCUCAAAGUCCAUAAUUGUUUUGUCCAACACUGUGGUUUGCAUUGAAAUCCAAUAGGUGGCAGGUACGUUCUACUCCAAUCUAAAUUGACUUGGACUGCCAGUUUUUCUGGUGACCGUUGUGGUUCAAGCAUUUCCACCAAAUAAAACUGACCUCCAUAAUUAAGCCAAUAGGACUGGAAGUGGUUUUAAACACAAUUAAUCAAGAAUUUUCUGAAACUAUGCAUUACACAGUUUCUAAAUACUUAAUUGAUAUGAAUUACAAGUUAAGAAACCCUUACAAUUUCAUAGAUAUAUGCAGUUUGUUCAGUCCCCUUUGCUGGGAUGUCACUGAGGAGGGUUAUUGGGGAUCAUGACACUCUGAGUUAAAUAAUUCUAUUUCAAUCUGAAUCUCAACUUUAAAAGACUUUAAUUGUAAUGUUCAAACCUCUCUUGGUGAUUCAUGAAUUAAGUUUUUUGUGGUCAUGUUUUGUUCAGUAAUGAUACCUUACAAUAUCUGCCUUGAAUACGAUUACUUCUUUUAUGAUGUUUUGUUUUCUUGCCAAUCUUGAAAAAGGGAUUGGAAAGUUGAGUAGUAGUGACUGUGAAAGUGUAUAUUACAUACAAACCUUGAGGUGAAUUGAAUUAUAUUUGUUCUCAGUGAUGUCAAAAUAUGAUAAUAGAAUAGAAAAACUAAUGUUUAAUGAAGAUAAAAAAUGGGUGCAGUAGCCAAAUGACGUAUGCUUGAACAAAAAUUUACAUCUAAUUUCUGUGGUUUAAAACUAAUGACGCCAUUCUUAAGUACUGCAUAUUUGAUACUUUGGUUGAAAAUAAAAAUUUAAACAAACAAGUUGAAUGUUUUCUGGUAGCCCCAUGUUUCAUUGUCUGAAUAUUUGUCCAAUCCGUCAUUAAAUUCUACAGACUACCAAUUAACCUGAACUAAUUGCAGGAUAAUAUUCUGUAAAUGAUUAUGAAAGGUAAAGGUUAAUUAGUGUUUGUUAUUAUAUAUGUAAAUUCUAGUCAUCUUAUGCAUAUUCAUGAACAUCAUUGCAAAAAUAUUUUAUAAAAUUUUGUCAAAAACAAUUUUCAGAAACAAAUUAGGACAUAUCUUGUACUUUUAACACAUGGAAAGUACACUCAAAAGAUGAAUGCAAAUUUUAAAACAGACCUGCAGAAUUGAAUUUCAUUGAUAUAUCUGUUAGAAAUUGAAGUUUAAAGGUUGUACAUGUAUAAGUUUUUUUAAUUAACAAUUAUACUUGUGAUGGUUCUAAUGUUAUUGUGUCUGUUCUUUUUUACUUUAUACUGGUGCUUUUAAAAAUUUAUUUACACAUAUGAAGUAUUGCAAUGAAUUAUAGAUAUCAUAAUGUCUCUGUAUGUUUCUUGUUUGUUAUUAUUUAUAAUUCCAUAAUUCCAUAGUACUUUUUAUAGAUUUACAAGGUUAGCAUUCGAUCUAUGUGUUUUUAUGUCAUAUAAUUGUUUGAUAUCAUGAGAACAAUUGUCCAAAAGAUAUUUACUAAGUCAGAAUCAAUUAUUUUAAUUGAGUUUUUGUUGUUUAUUUAUUACAU
Molecule: long non-coding RNA, 2021 nt
Filed under: Mytilus galloprovincialis (Mediterranean mussel)
Lineage: Eukaryota; Metazoa; Mollusca; Bivalvia; Mytilida; Mytilidae
Source: RNAcentral